GCUUCUUCGAGUUAGGGGCCUGACUCCCCGGCGACAAGACAAGAUGGCUCCUCCGCUCUGCGAUGCAGCUACCGUCCCGGCUGCGUUGCUCGGCCCGCCCCCGGUACUGUGCCUUUAAAUGGCGGAGAGGGUCAGGCAAGCAGGAAGAGAGGCGUGUGCCCUCACGUGAUGGGGGCGGACCGGCUAAACAAGAUCCGGUCACGUGGAUCAACGUUGCCCGCCAAUCAGAAGGUGGAGUCUCAGGGCGGGGGCGGGAAGACUUCGAGGUCUGUGAUUGGCCGAAGGUGCGGUGGAGGCCUCGGCGGCAGGGCCGUCGGGAGUGAGCGAGGUGAUUCGCGCUGCGUGCGCUUACGGAGACAAAGCGGUGCCUGAGGUAGCGGUGGCGGCCGCAGCACGGGACUCUGAGACGUUCUAAACGCUGAAUCUCGUGACGCUCGUCCUGUCAUCGUCUUUUCUGGCGCGGCGUGUCGCGGCACGGGCGGUGGUGGCGGCAGCGGCGGCGGAGGCAGCGACAGCACAUGGUUCCAAGAGCGCGCUGCGGUGGUUGAGUUCCAAUUCCGCGGGGAGGGACAAAGGCAUCUGCGAGCUGCAGGCAACGCCCGAUCCGAUCUGGUGGUGCACUCGCCACUGUCCUCUGUUCUCCCAGGAUCUGGGACUAACUCCUCUCUGUCAGUAGCGAGGAGGUGGCCACAGGACCCAGGCUUGGGAAGGCCUGAGGGCCCGAGGCCAUCUUCUGAAGGGGGUGGGGGAAGGGCGCGCCUGAGGUGAUUCUGGAGGGUACAUUGUGAGGUGUUUCUGUGGGCCACUGUGAGUAAUUUCACCUGCUACCUGUGGUGAUUGUGGCAUAAUAGCAAGCUGUGUUGGGGCGGGGUUUGGGAAAAGAAAUCUGUCAGUCAGCACCAAGGACCUUUCUGUUGAGAAGCCGUGAAGCCAGAAGUAGCAUCCUCUCCAUUGCACUGUCCAGUAGAGCACUUUUUUUGAGGAGCCUGAUGUCUUCGGUGGUGACAAAGUCUUCGGUGGUAAUGAUGUAGAUGGACCGUCAGCUUUAUGACAGAAGUAGGUCAAUUUCCUGAAUUUAGGAGAACAGAAAAGGACUUGAAGAACGUGAAGUUGAAGCUGUAAUAAACCGCCAAGUUUGAAGACCAUUCAGAACCGUUCACUUUUGAUGUACGUCGGAAUUGUGUGAAGGAAGCUUGAUCCCCAGAGCACUUUAACGACUGUAGUUUAGAAUAUAGUACUUUCCAAAGUAAUACAUCAGAGUCAUCGAAGUACGUAAAUCACUCGCAGUUUCAAAUAUCUGACUAAUAUCCAAUAUUUUGGAUAGAUAUUUGGGAAAUUUUGUUUCAUGUGUCACUAAGAAAGGACAAACUUACCCUUUACUGGACAGAAUCCUGGGGAAAUCUAUUUCACUAUAUGUACUUUCCUGUUUACGGACAAAGACUGAAGACUCAUCGCAGUCAUGGCCUUCACCAAUUACAGCAGUCUCAACCGAGCCCAACUAACCUUUGAAUAUCUCCACACAAAUUCAACCACUCAUGAAUUCUUAUUUGGUGCUCUUGCUGAACUGGUUGAUAAUGCAAGAGAUGCUGAUGCCACCAGAAUAGACAUUUAUGCUGAGAGGCGGGAAGACCUUCGAGGAGGAUUUAUGCUUUGCUUUUUGGAUGAUGGAGCAGGAAUGGAUCCGAGUGAUGCUGCUAGUGUGAUCCAGUUUGGGAAGUCAGCCAAAAGAACUCCCGAGUCCACCCAAAUUGGGCAGUAUGGCAAUGGAUUAAAAUCGGGCUCAAUGCGGAUUGGGAAGGAUUUUAUCCUCUUCACUAAGAAGGAAGAUACCAUGACUUGCCUCUUCCUGUCUCGAACCUUUCAUGAGGAAGAAGGCAUUGAUGAAGUGAUUGUCCCAUUGCCUACCUGGAAUGCUCGAACACGGGAACCUAUCACAGACAAUGUGGAGAAGUUUGCCAUUGAGACAGAACUUGUGUACAAGUACUCCCCCUUCCACACUGAGGAGCAAGUGAUGAACCAGUUCAUGAAGAUUCCGGGGAAUAGUGGAACACUGGUGAUCAUCUUUAAUCUCAAGCUUAUGGAUAAUGGAGAGCCAGAACUAGACAUAAUCUCAAAUCCAAAAGAUAUCCAGAUGGCAGAAACCUCCCCAGAGGGCACGAAACCAGAGCGACGCUCCUUCCGAGCCUAUGCUGCUGUACUUUAUAUUGACCCCCGGAUGAGGAUCUUCAUCCAUGGACACAAGGUGCAGACCAAGAGACUCUCCUGCUGCCUGUAUAAGCCCAGGAUGUACAAGUAUACAUCAAGUCGUUUCAAGACUCGGGCAGAACAGGAAGUGAAGAAAGCAGAGCAUGUAGCCCGGAUUGCUGAAGAGAAGGCCCGGGAGGCAGAGAGCAAAGCUCGGACUUUAGAAGUACGCAUGGGUGGGGACCUGACACGGGACUCCAGGGUGAUGUUGCGGCAGGUGCAGAAUGCAGCUAUCACCCUGCGUAGAGAAGCCGAUGUCAAGAAAAGGAUCAAGGAUGCCAAGCAGCGAGCACUCAAAGAACCCAAGGAACUGAAUUUUGUUUUUGGGGUCAAUAUUGAACACCGGGACUUAGAUGGCAUGUUUAUCUACAACUGUAGCCGCCUGAUCAAGAUGUAUGAGAAAGUGGGCCCACAGCUGGAAGGGGGCAUGGCAUGCGGUGGGGUUGUCGGGGUUGUCGAUGUGCCCUACCUGGUUCUGGAGCCUACGCAUAACAAGCAGGACUUUGCUGAUGCCAAGGAGUACCGGCACCUGCUGCGAGCAAUGGGGGAGCACUUGGCACAGUACUGGAAGGACAUCGCCAUCGCCCAGCGUGGGAUCAUCAAGUUUUGGGAUGAAUUUGGCUAUCUUUCCGCCAACUGGAACCAACCCCCGUCCAGUGAGCUGCGUUUCAAACGCCGGAGGGCUAUGGAAAUUCCAACCACCAUCCAGUGUGAUUUGUGUUUGAAAUGGAGGACUCUUCCCUUCCAGCUGAGUUCAGUAGAAAAAGAUUACCCUGAUACUUGGGUUUGCUCCAUGAACCCUGAUCCUGAGCAGGACCGCUGUGAAGCUUCUGAACAGAAGCAAAAGGUUCCCUUGGGGACAUUAAAAAAGGACCCAAAGUCCCAGGAAGAAAAGCAGAAGCAGCUGACAGAGAAAAUUCGCCAGCAGCAGGAAAAGCUAGAAGCUCUUCAGAAAACCACGCCCAUCCGCUCACAAGCUGACCUGAAGAAACUGCCCUUAGAAGUGACUACAAGACCUUCUACUGAAGAACCUGUACGGAGACCUCAGCGUCCUCGGUCACCUCCUUUACCUGCAGUGAUCAAGAAUGCUCCUAGCAGACCCCCUUCUAUUCAGACUCCCAGACCAGCUACCCAGCUCCGAAAGACGUCUGUUAUCAGCUCUCCAAAACCACCUGCUACAGCAGCCCGAGGAGAAACUAGUACUUCCAGGAUACUCCAGCCAGCUGAGGCACCCCGAAAGCCUGCAAACCUUCCCAUCAAGACCGUACCCCGACCCACCCCUACUGUCCAGACUCCCUCACCAUCUCUAAUCCCCAAUUCCAAGAACCUCCGGGAGGUCCCUGCUCAAAAAGCCAUCAAAACUCCAAUGGUCAAGAAGCCGGAGCCGCCUGCUAAACAGUCCAUGGCAUCCUCAGGUCGGAAGCGGAGUCUCGUAGUCUCAGAUGAGGAAGAGGCUGAAGAAGAAGCUGAGAAGAGGAAAGAGAGAUGCAAGCGGGGCAAACUUGCUGUGAAGGAGGAGAAGAAGGAGGCAAACGAGCUCUCAGACAGUGCUGGGGAAGAUGACCCGGCUGAACUCAAGAAGGCUCAGAAAGAUAAAGGACUGCAUGUAGAGGUCCGUGUGAACCGGGAGUGGUAUACAGGCCGUGUCACAGCUGUGGAGAUGGGCAAGAAUGUGGUUCGAUGGAAAGUGAAGUUUGACUAUGUGCCCACAGACACAACACCAAGAGACCGCUGGGUGGAGAAAGGCAGUGAAGAUGUACGACUGAUGAAGCCACCUUCCCCAGAGCAUCAGAGCCCUGACACGCAGCAAGAAGGUGGAGAGGAGGAGGAGGCUAUGGUGGCCCAGCAGGCUGUGGCCUUGCCAGAGCCUUCCACCUCUGAUGGUCUUCCCAUUGAGCCUGACACCACUGCCACCAGUACCAGCCAUGAGACUAUUGACCUCCUUGUCCAGAUUCUUCGGAAUUGCCUGCGGUACUUCUUGCCUCCAAGUUUCCCGAUCUCCAAGAAGGAGCUGAGUGUUAUGAACUCAGAAGAACUAAUAUCCUUUCCUCUGAAAGAAUACUUCAAGCAGUAUGAGGUAGGGCUCCAGAAUCUGUGCCAUUCCUACCAGAGCCGUGCUGAUUCACGGGCAAAAGCCUCCGAGGAGAGCCUACGCACAUCGGAGAAAAAGCUUCGUGAGACAGAGGAGAAGUUACAGAAGUUGAGGACCAACAUUGUAGCUCUCCUGCAAAAAGUGCAGGAGGACAUAGACAUCAACACAGAUGAUGAGCUGGAUGCCUACAUUGAAGACCUCAUCACCAAAGGGGACUGAGGAGCUGGGAGUAAGAUCAACUCCUUCGCACACCCACCCCUCAACACAGCAGCUUCUGGGGAGGGGAAUUUCAUUUGGCACAGAGUCUGAGCCAUUCAGCUCCUGGCACCUCAAGAUAGGAUGAAGAAAGCGCCAUCCUGAAGUUGGAGAGGCUCCAAGGGCAUCAACAAUGGGAUAUGAAAGAUAUAUGGCCCCAGGGACUCAGCUCUGCAAGACCCUCCAGGGGUAAUCAAAACAGGCCCAGUAUCAGAAAGACUUUCCCUGUAACAGAUCUCCUGGUGUCCAGUCAGGGCUGUGAAGGUCUGUAGGCUACCUGAGCAGCUGUCAGUCAUCCUGGAUGUGGCAGUAUCCAGACAGCUUGGAGAUGUUUGUUAAUGCUCAAAUUUCCCAAUACACCACCUACUUUGUACUGGAAGAGCCAUUUCCUGAGUCAACCACAUUAUCCAAGCUCAAGCAUAGACAGCUCUGACUGGUCAGACCCUGGGCUAGAUGGCUCUGAAUGUUGAACUCCAAAGAUUCUCAGGGUGUGCAAGGUGUGAGAGAGCUCUCUGGAGGAGACGGCUUCCUCAGUGGUGCUAGUUCCUGGAGAGCCUUUGCUGCUGCUUUUCUACUAUGUACUCUCUGGGCUCCAGAGAGCCCUGCACCUCCCAUGCUCUGGAAGUGAGGAGGAGGGACCAUGUGCUUCAGACAACUACUCAGAGCCAGAAAGGCAAGAGCUUCAUCUGAAGGCUGCUGGAAGAAUUCUGGUUCCAGUCCCAACUCUUCACACCUCUGUUCAAGACUGAUUUUGUACUCUUGACCCAAACCACCUUGGGAUUUGUAUCCAUCAAAGCGAGGCUGCCACCUUGUGUCCCGUGGUCUCUGCAGAAGAUGGGGGAGUGGUGGUGAGGGAACUGCACACGUGGCUGGAAGUGCCUGCUUGAGCUCUGCCAUCAUGUUUAGGGGGUAGCAUUCAGAAUAGUUCUCUGAAACAUUCUCCAAUAGAUGGGUUUUCUGAGUUGGUGCACUCACCCCCGCAUCGCCCCCAUCCAACUUUCUGUUGACCCUAUCCAGGCAGGGUGUGGUCCAUUUUUGUCCGUAAACCCACUGUUUAAAAGGAAAUUGGCCCUGCAUUUUUAUUGGCAGGUAAUACUCACUUUGAUUUUUUUUACUUACACAUGUAAUCAAAAUGUAUUACUAUAAAUUUCUACUGGUGAGA
Molecule: RNA transcript, 5753 nt
Organism: Rattus norvegicus (Norway rat)
Lineage: Eukaryota; Metazoa; Chordata; Mammalia; Rodentia; Muridae
Gene: Morc2
Gene name: MORC family CW-type zinc finger 2
Source: RefSeq, marked validated